Oryzias latipes (Japanese medaka) is the source of this 2650-nucleotide RNA transcript. It is a transcript of the gene named interleukin-18 receptor accessory protein, with no coding region annotated. NCBI's taxonomy places the organism in Eukaryota, Metazoa, Chordata, Actinopteri, Beloniformes, Adrianichthyidae. The record is from RefSeq and is a predicted model, not a curated record.
UGAGAAAGUACAUUUAUGACGACAUUAAGAAGACACUGAGAAGAGUGCUUCUUAUUGCACCCGUAGAAACGCUGGUGGGGUUGCUGUGAUGUAAAAGACGUGUGAUUUCCUCUGCAUUGUGACAAAUGUUGUCUGAGAUUUUACAGCGCGGCAUGAAAACUGGAUUUGCUCUGUUUUAUUGGAUUUGUCCCGUUCUUUUACAGGGAUGUUGCAUUAGAAAACACCAAAAGAAAAUGAAAGGUGUUCAGCAGAAUACAACAAAUCAGCACUUCAGAGCCGUGGAGGGGGAACUAUUUAUGAUGCCAUGCAUUAAAUCUUUGGAGCAGCCUGAGAGGACCGUGUGGUCCAGAAGUGGAGAAGAUAAAAAAGAAAAUAAAGACCUGACCUUUGACUGUGGGGUGAAGUUUGUAGCUAGAGUGAACCAUUCUGGAAAGUACACAAGCCUCUCUGCUGGCAGCAGAUCCAUCAUCAUUCUGCAGGUAGUGGAAAGCAUCACUCUGAGAUGUUAUCAGCCCAGCGAAGCCAAGGUAACACUCAGGGUGCGUAGAGGGGGGGUGAUCUACUGUCCCGGCCACCAUUGUAGUAACAACACGGGCACCAUCUGGUUCAAGGGUAACAAAGCUGUGUCUAAGCAGCGCAGAUCCUCCUGCAAUGAGGAGGGCCUGUUACGACUCUGUGAAGUCUACGAAGAGGACACCGGUUUAUAUUUCUGUGACCGCCAGCUGAUGGAAGAAGGAAUCCAGUGGACCUACAGAAGGGCUGUUGACGUUACAGUCAUAUCACAUCUAGAACCAUCCAGGUGUCCUAGGAUUAGAUAUCCUGCUGCUAACAUGACAGAGGAAGUGGAGCUUGGUCAUCCGCAUACUCUGACAUGCGAGGUGUUCUUUGAUUUUGAAGUAGACUUCCUACCAAAGGUGCAGUGGUUUAUGAAUUAUGGCCACAACAUGGAGAAUAUGACUCCUCUGCACAUGGAAGCACCACAACAGAAGCAAGAAACACUGGAAGUAUUUGAAGUCAUCCAGACAGCCGUCAUAUCAGAAGUGAUGCCACAGCACUUGAAGCACACCUUUACCUGCUUCGCCACCAAUUCAGUGGGAAACAGCAGCGUUACAAUCAAGCUUAAGCAAAAAAUUAAAGUUAACUGGCCACCAUUGGUUGGAUAUCCAUUUGCUGCUUUCCUGCUGGUAGUUUGGCUGGGAAUCCUCCUGCGUGUGAAAUGGUUGGAAAUCCAGCUCAUGUACAGAUCCCACUUCCAACAUCGACGACAUGAUGGGGAGAAGGAGUAUGAUGUGUUUUUGUCGUUUGUUUGGAGCUCUUUGUCAGCAGAAGGGACUCAAGGAUUAACCCUUCCAUCCAGAUCAGGAUGUGACUGUAAUGAGGAAGAACAUCUUUCGAAUAAGAAGCUGAUGAGUUGCAAGGAAAGUAAAUCCACCCUGAAACCAUUAGAGGUGUUGCUCCCUCAUGUGCUGGAGGUCCACUGGGGUUAUCGCCUGUGUUUACCGGAGAGGGACCUUCUUCCUGGAGGAGCGUAUACAAAUGAUGUGGUUCUUGGAAUUAAGAGAAGCAGAAUGCUUGUGUGUGUCCUCUCAGCUGACUACCUGGCUGACAGCAGCGCUGUGUUUGUGCUGGAGUCAGGCAUUCAGGCUUUGCUGCAAAAGUCUUCCCUUAAACUUUUAUUAAUACGGACAAGCGAAACCUCAGCAUUCCUGACUCCGUCACACCUGCCGCUGCCGCGACUUGUCCAGACGGCCUUGAAGGUGUUGCCUCGGCUGAAUUACAGCUCAAAAACAUCUUUAAGGGCUGUUGACAACUUCUGGAGAUCUUUGAGAAAAGCCAUGCCCCAAAGCAGAAAGAGACAGGUUGCAACCAUGGAGUGCGGACUUUAAGGAUUGGGAUGAGAUUUUCUGCAACAAAAGACAGCUGAGUCCUUUUUCUAUUCAGCAAGGACUGCAUUCACUGUUUAUACAGGGCUACUGAUGGGAGGAUGUGUGGAGUCACUUACCAUCAAAUCCUAAGUGAAACCUCCUUCCCUCCUUAAGCCCGGAGGCUUAUGAAAAGGUCUUCCAACAGGAUAAGAACUAAAACAUACAGCAAGGGCAACCAAGGAAUGGCUGAAGAAGCAUCUCAAGGUCAUGGAGUGGCCCAUCGUUUCUCUUGACUUGAAUCCUAUAGAACAGCGGUCCCCAACCUUUGUUGCACCACGGCCCGGUUUGAUGUCUUGCAAAAUUCUCACAGACCGGUAUGUUAUAUGUGGCAGACACACGCUGCAAUAAAGGCAGAGACAUGUGAUAAGACGUACUCUGCACUUUCAUUUUGACAUGCUAAACAUUGUACAUCGCACAAGUGUCACCAUCCUGUCCCCUUCCCACACUCAUGGUGCUAAAAAGAAGUAAACACAACAGGAAGAAAUAACUAAGGGAGAAACAACAUAACUGCCAGAUGAAAGGACCCGUAGGCAAAAAGAAAGACCCAUGCUCAACCCGAUUUUGACCAAAGCAGGCAAAGGGGAUUGAUUUGAUUCCCUGUGAUGCCGGCUCCGACAGUAACCCCUCCAGCCUGUGGAAUUCCGACAGCAGACCAAACGUGCACGUGACCUCCACUACAAAACAACAAAAUAUGACUUGCAUGAAAACUGUGGUAUUUUCUAAAC